UGGAAUUCCAUAGAUUUACUUUUAGGUCCUCCUCCACUCCGUUUUCUCUUUUGUUUCUUAAGAUCCGAAAAAAUAAUUGUCUCGGAACAAAAGGAGGACUGAUUUGAAGCUCUAAUAAUCAAAUGCAGGAAGCGAGAUUUGACUGAAGCUGUAAAAGUAUACAUCAAUGGGUGAUUAGCACUUUAUAUACAAGGAUGUUGAAGGAAGGACAACACAGUGGGACAAUAUACAAACAAAGUUAGGCAAUUUACCUCCAAAGCCCGCUCCAUUCAAACCCCCUGCUUUCACCCCGGCAGAAGAUGAGAGUUUGAAACCAAAGGACAAAGCCUGGCUAGAUAAUAAAACUGAAGAAGACCUUGAGCAUCUCGAAGAUGAUCCUGAACUUGAUGAUGACCGCUUCCUUGAAGAAUACAGAAAGCAAAGACUAGCAGAGAUGAGGGAAGGUGCAAAGAUAGCGAAGUUCGGAUCUGUAAUGCCGAUAUCAGGUGCAGAUUUUGUUCGCCAGGUCUCCCAGGCUCCAUCAGACGUUUGGGUCGUAGUGUGUUUGUACAAAGAAGGAAUCGCAGAGUGCGGGAUACUCUUACGGUGCCUGGAUGAACUAGCUACAAGAUACCCAGCAACGAAAUUCGUCAAAAUAAUAUCUACAGAAUGCAUUCCAAACUACCCAGAUCGUAAUGUUCCUACUAUUUUGGUUUACAAUAACAGUGCUGUCAAAGGAACAUAUGUAGGCUCGCAUCAUUUUGGACGGAGGUGUACUCCUGAAGGAUGGUCGUUUGUAUUGAUUUUCUUGAACAACUAUGUUAACUGAUUAAUGUUCAGAUCUAGAGGAUCCUGACCCUAUCUCCACUAUAAUGAAAGACACCCUAUCUCCAUCUUUCAGAGCUGAAGUUUUUGUAAUUCGGUACUUAUUUUUCUACAUUAUUCUUGGCCAUGAUAAUUCAGCUGUUGCAUUAGUCCUCUGCCAAUCCGAUCCUGUACUUAAUGAUGGCCAGAGUUCAAGUGAAUCGUCUAGAGAUGCAGUCCUCGAUCAAGUCCGCAGAAACUUUAUUGAGAAGGUCGUAACAGAGCGUGAAGAUGCAGAUGAUGGAUACAACAGUGAUUAGAAUGUGAAAACUGUUUUCCACUCAGUGAAAAAGAGAGAUGAAGAGGAGAUGCUGGUGUGCAAUAUUAGAUUGGUCAUGUUCUGUUUGAAUUUUAGUUGUCUUUUUGUGUUUAACAUGUAAUUGUCCACUUUAAAAUUCUUCAUCUGAGGUUUCCUAUUGUUAUUAUUAUUUUUUUUUUAUUUUUUUUAACUGGUUGUAAAAAUUAACAGUCUUCUUCUAUCCAUUUGAUAAUAUCAGCCAGAUAGUUAUCUGUAAAAC
Molecule: RNA transcript, 1361 nt
Organism: Papaver somniferum (opium poppy)
Lineage: Eukaryota; Viridiplantae; Streptophyta; Magnoliopsida; Ranunculales; Papaveraceae
Gene name: phosducin-like protein 3
Exons: 5
Source: RefSeq, a predicted model, not a curated record